GCAAGUCGAACGGUAACAGAAAGCAGCUUGCUGUAUGCUGACGAGUGGCGGACGGGUGAGUAAUGUCUGGGAAACUGCCUGAUCGAGGGCGAUAACUACUGGAAACGGUAGCUAAUACCGCAUAACGUCGCAAGACCAAAGAGGGGGACCUUCGGGCCUCUUGCCAUCGGAUGUGCCCAGAUGGGAUUAGCUAGUAGGUGAGGUAACGCCUCACCUAGGCGACGAUCACUAGCUGGUCUGAGACGAUGACCAGCCACACUGGAACUGAGACACGGUCCAGACUCCUACGGGAGGCAGCAGUGGGGAAUAUAGCACAAUGGGCGCAAGCCUGAUGCAGCCAUGCGGCGUGUAUGAAGAAGGCCAUCGGGUUGUAAGGUACUAUCAGCGGCGAGGAAGGGAGUAAAGUUAAUACCUAUGCUCAUUGACGUUACCCGCAGAAGAAGCACCGGCUAACUCCGUGCCAGCAGCCGCGCUAAUACGGAGGGUGCAAGCGUUAAUCGGAAUUACUGGGCGUAAAGCGCACGCAGGCGGUUUGUUAAGUCAGAUUUGAAUUCCCCGGGCUCAACCUGCGAACUGCAUCUGAUACUGGCAAGCUAGAGUCUCGUAGAGGGGGGUAGAAUUCCAGGUGUAGCGGUGAAAUGCGUAGAGAUCUGGAGGAAUACCGGUGGCGAAGGCGGCCCCCUGGACGAUAACUGACGCUCAGGUGCGAAAGCGUGGGGAGCAAACUGGAUUAGAUACCCUGGUAGUCCACGCCGUAAACGA
RNAcentral lists this ribosomal RNA (762 nucleotides) under Shigella sp. Its description in RNAcentral is "bacterial SSU rRNA". It matches the Rfam family "Bacterial small subunit ribosomal RNA", at positions 57 to 809 of the family's 1533-position model. The record is from RNAcentral. Lineage: Bacteria; Pseudomonadati; Pseudomonadota; Gammaproteobacteria; Enterobacterales; Enterobacteriaceae.